GACGAACGCUGGCGGCGUGCUUAACACAUGCAAGUCGAACGAAGUGGCGAACGGGUGAGUAACGCGUAAGCAACCUGCCCUUCAGAGGGGGACACCAGUUGAAACCGACUGCUAAUACCGCAUACUGAAGGAGGGGAUUGCGUCGGAUUAGCUAGUUGGAGGGGUAACGGCCCACCAAGGCGAUGAUCAGUAGCCGGGCUGAGAGGAGGAACGGCCACAAUGGGACUGGGAAACGGCCCCAGAUCCUAAGGGAGGCAGCAGUGGGGAAUCUUUCGCAAUGGAGGAAAGUCUGACGGAGCAACGCCGGGUGAGUGAUGACGGGCUUCGGGGUGUAAAGCUCCGUUAAUCGGGACGCGGUACCGGAAGAGAAAGCCACGGCUAACUACGUGCCAGCAGCCGCGGUAAUUC
Molecule: ribosomal RNA, 408 nt
Filed under: uncultured bacterium
Lineage: Bacteria
Description: partial 16S ribosomal RNA
Rfam family: Bacterial small subunit ribosomal RNA
Source: RNAcentral